Molecule: long non-coding RNA, 1000 nt
Filed under: Olea europaea subsp. europaea
Lineage: Eukaryota; Viridiplantae; Streptophyta; Magnoliopsida; Lamiales; Oleaceae
Source: RNAcentral
AUUUGUUCCAUUAAAUAGGCUCAUGCUGUGUAGAAGAUCCUGUGUUUGGACGCCAUUAUUCUGCCAGAAUUCAUUUUAUCCAUCACAACAGGUGGGGCCUACGUUGUAGCAUGUGAAUGAGUGGGUUUAUUCUUUAUUCACCUUUUUACAUUUCUACCCCCAUUUGUCAAAUUUUUAGGCAAAAAGGACUUGAGUACUCUGGUAAAAUAGGGAAAGGAGAAGGCUAAAUAAUUAAAAAGGUACAACUUUUGUCAUUCAUGUGUCUGGCGGCAAAAAUUUUUACUGCUCCAAUUGCUGUGUAACGGUAAAAAAAAUUCUACAAAUGAGGUAAAAAUGGGUAUAAAGGGGAUAAUGUAGUACACUUAAUCCUUAUCAUGUAAAAACAAUAUAUGAAAUGAAAAAUGAAAAGAAAGUUUCACAAACAUCAUCUCCAAAGCCCAACCCAUCCUGACAGAGGUGAGGCACGCACUACAAGCAGGUGGCGACAAUAAAGACCAAGGAAGAGCAAAAGGGUGAAUACGGUGGGAGAUAUUGGGAAAGGCCAAUUUUAGAGCUUUCGAUCCAUUCAGUAUAGGAGAGGAUUGUGUUUUUCACCACCCCAUCUGAGAGUGUAACGCCUUUCCGGUGAUUGUGACAAUGCAACGGCGUUGGUGGAGGGUUGGAGGGUCGGAGAAUCGGAAAGUUUGAGGUAGAGAGAAGAUGGGGUGGUUAAUAACGGAAAAAGAUGGUUACAACGACAAGGCGGCGAUGGUUACGAUGCGUUGGUGAUGGGGUUGGCCGUGAGUCUUUAGGGAAAGUAUUUUUGGAAUUUUAAUUUCUUCUUUUAUUUUUGUUUUAAAUUUGCAUAUUAUUUUUUGAAAGUUUAAAUAGGAAGGUUAAUUGAUCUGAUAUUUUUAUGCUUCUAAAUCGCCUCAUCCGCAGAGCACGAGCCUAUUCAACAAAACAAAUAUAUGACAAGCCACGCAAGAAACACUUUAUGCAAGAAUAUGUUAAUCUGAGG